AGAACGAACGCUGGCGGCAUGCCUAAUACAUGCAAGUCGAACGAACUCUUCGGAGUUAGUGGCGCACGGGUGCGUAACGCGUGGGAAUCUGCCCUUGGGUUCGGAAUAACAGUUGGAAACGACUGCUAAUACCGGAUGAUGACGAAAGUCCAAAGAUUUAUCGCCCAGGGAUGAGCCCGCGUAGGAUUAGCUAGUUGGUGAGGUAAAGGCUCACCAAGGCGACGAUCCUUAGCUGGUCUGAGAGGAUGAUCAGCCACACGUGGGACUGAGACACGGCCCAGACUCCGUACGGGAGGCAGCAGUAGGGAAUAGUUGGAC
RNAcentral lists this ribosomal RNA (318 nucleotides) under uncultured soil bacterium. RNAcentral describes it as "bacterial SSU rRNA". It matches the Rfam family "Bacterial small subunit ribosomal RNA", at positions 26 to 370 of the family's 1533-position model. The record is from RNAcentral.